UGGAGAAGGAGCUUUGGCAGCACCUUGGCUGCCAGGGAUGGCGGCAGAGCAGGGACCAUCAAUGGCCAAGGGAUGCUCAGGGCAGAAACAGGCAGGUGUAUUGCAGGCAAGCUUCGUCUCACCUCAGCUGCCUCCAAGAUCUGUAGGUGCCCUGUGGGAGCUAAUCAGCCUCCCAAGCCCCCAGACUUCUUAAUUUUACUGAUUUAAAAAUAGCCUCAGGCUCCUUAAGGGGCUGCAGCUGAGGAGACUCCCUUGUAACUCAGCUGGCUGAACGGGCCCUGUUAAACUCACCUGCUCCCUCAGGUCCCCCACAAGGAUGUUUUCCAAGCGUGGUAGAAAUAGACAUUUUUACAUUUCUGUCUUUGCAUGCAUGCAGAUUCCUCCAUGUUUUGACAGAAGGACACAUGGCACAAGGAGAUGGCUACAGGGGGAUGCCAGUGCUGGCAUAGAGCAGAGAUUUGGCAGAAGAAAUCAACAAGGACAAGCCAACAGGACUUACUGUAGAGGCCACAGACUUUCCUUCUUCAGAGUUACUAACGUCUCAGAGGGAUCCUGCUACUUCUCAUGCCACAGGAUCUGUUGGAGGAAUGAAGACACAUUCCCCAUGCUGUGCCUCUGAAUCCUCUCCUGGGCUUUCCCAUUACCUUCAGCUCUGCCAGAAGGCUGAAGGAUGUUCCUGUGGUAAAUCUCGUAAUCUGUCUGCUGGACAAAGCACCAGGCACCUGAGAAGACCUAUGGCUUGUUGACAGCCAGCCUGGUUAUCCCAGUGGUAAGUGCCACAGACAGACACACCCCUUGGGAUCCCAAAAGAAAAACAUUAUAUUUAAAAAGAUGAGAUACUUCCAUUUCUGACAGAUAGGGCACUUUUCACUGCAGAGCAGCUACCCACAGCUGCUGCACAGCACUGGCAGUGUCCAUAAACCCACACACUAGCUUCUCCUAAUACCCUGCUCAAGUAACCCAGCCCAAGUCUAUUCCUUUCAGCUGUGCAUCCAGCUCCAGUAAUAAGUGUUUAAUCCCACUGAAGCCCACCUGCUGCAGGUCUUGCUUCUGAGGGACCCCACCACAAACUCUGGAUGUUUCAAUGGGUAUCACCCCCUGUGAAUGGGAGCUUCUGACACCACAAUGCUGCAACAUGCAUUUCUACAUAAAAUUCACCUUGGGACAUGUUUCCCUUGCUGAGCAAACUAAAUCCGAGUUCUACAAAUGCCACAUCUUAUCAGGGCCAUUUUCUUUAUCAGUUUGAUUGCAAAUUGGCUUGAGUCUAUAGACUCCUAGAGCAUGAAGCCACAUCCAGCUAAGUCUUAGAAGCUGUAAACUAAAGGAGAUGGCAGCUGUUUCUCUCUGGAGCAUUCAUGAGGUAAUAAUAGUAACAAUAAGGGGAAGGAAAAUAGAGCAGUUUCAUUGUGAUAUUUUUUAGAAAGUAAAGAUUCCAUUGAAUAUAAAAUUAUCAUUGAUUUUAGGCACUUUGAUGGACUAAUGUUUGGUUUUAGUGGAGUAAUUUUCUGAGAAGAGCAGAAAAAGCUGUGUCAAGAGGGAACAACCUUCACUUUGUAUAGAGAGGUGCUGCUGGGUAGAAGUGCUGGAGUCCUUUAUUUUAAUGGGAUUAAUUAUAUUGCACAGGAAACCUGGAUUUGAAAGCAGUUCCUCUGAUACAUUCCUCUUCAGGAGUAAUUACCUGCUGCAUUUACCAAAGCUCAAAGGCUGAUCUUGUAUCGCACUGGAUCAUCUGCACUAUGGCUAAAAUUAAAACAAAGGGAGAGGAAACAAAUAAGAAAGGAUGUAAAACUCUCAAAUGUCAGGUCUAAAAGAAAGUCCUUUCCACCAAGAUGAAAGGUGGAACGCCUUUUAGAGUGAACAUCUGAUGUAGUUGGAGGUGAAACACAAAUAAGAGAAUAAUUAUGCUGCACUUGGUUUCCACCAACUGGCUCCUCACCACAUGAUGUCCCCUGGCUGCUUUACACCUUCUGCUUACCAUGGGGUUUCCAUCAUACCCAAAGACCUCUCAUCAAAAUUUUUCCUGUGGACAGCAUUCACUAGGAAAGACUGGCAAAUUUCUCUGGCCAAAUUAUAGGAAGCAGAAAGCUGCUUCUGCUGCUGAGGUGGGGGUUCGUUUUCAGUCAGCCUGCCCCAUCUCUCUUCUCCCUGACCAUAAAAUGUUGGACAGAGCAGAUGAGACAUUGCCUGCAUGGAAGUCAGAUCCUCUCUAGGAAGGCUUACACGACUUUACCUUCCAUGCAAAACAAAUCUGUAAUUAAAUGAUGCUUUAAAUGCUCA
Molecule: long non-coding RNA, 2277 nt
Organism: Corvus hawaiiensis (hawaiian crow)
Lineage: Eukaryota; Metazoa; Chordata; Aves; Passeriformes; Corvidae
Exons: 2
Source: RefSeq, a predicted model, not a curated record